Chrysemys picta bellii (western painted turtle) is the source of this 1876-nucleotide long non-coding RNA. RefSeq lists it as uncharacterized. NCBI's taxonomy places the organism in Eukaryota, Metazoa, Chordata, Testudines, Emydidae. The record is from RefSeq and is a predicted model, not a curated record.
CCCCCCCUUCCCCAUCGCAUCCCUCCCCUUCUCUCCUCCCCCCGCCGCGCCGCAGCCUCCUCCUCUUCCUCCUCCCCCUCGCCAGGACACCGGGCAGAGCCGCACGGGGGGAUCCCUCGCCUGGUGGGGGCGGGGAAUGGGGCUUCUCCCCCCCCCCGCGCCAGGGGGGCGAGCCGAGGCGUCCGCUGAGCCGCCGCGGGAUGUCGGCGAUGUUUUGCAGGUGUAAAUUUGGAGAAACUUCCCUGACAUGGAGUGCGUCAAGCUGCCCUGCAGUGAAUAACGUAGCUGAAGUCGAAGUACCUUAGUUCGAACUUAAAGGUACUUAACAAAGGUCCACAUGCGGCAGGCAGGCUCCCCCGUCGACUCCGCGUACUCGACGGCGAGCACUUCCGGAAUCGAUCCCAGAAGAUCGAUUGCUUACCGCCAAACCCGGAGGCAACCAGACUGGAUCCAGCUCUGUAUUUGUCAGAACUCAGUGGAGACACGGACACCUUGGCACAAGCUGGCACCUCACUGCCAGCGUCACAGAGGGAGUUACGCCCGAGAUACACCAACAGAAGUAACAGAAGAAGCAGGCCCGAUAGGAGCUAUGCCUGGAUAAGGAUGCAAGGCUUUGGGGCUCUGCAAAGCCCAUUUAAAUCAAUAGAAAGACGCCGCUUGCUCUGGCCUUUGGAUCAGCGCCUGAAGACUGUGCACAAGCGAAACAAACCCAGAAUUCCCAUACGGACCAUGGCUAGAGAGUAACGUUCGGACCUGAUCCUGCAAACAGACGAGUAACUUUACUAGUGCGUUGUAGUUCCAUUGGAGCCAAUAGAACAGCCCCCCUGCCGCCAAUCAGCUUUGUAUCAGACACUUGGCCUGUUAGGAAAGUGUUUCUCCAACUGUUCGUUUGCAAGAGAAAAUUUGUGCUGGAAUUUAAAAGAAAAUGUUUUAGGGGAACUGUAAAAAUUAUAUUAGUUUCCAAAAAUUAGCCCCAUAUUCCGAUGAUGGAUGAAAACAAAACAUCAUAUGAAAAAGUAGCAUUAAUAUAAAUGUACUUUCUGUGGGAAAACUUUAGCAACUUACAUAAUCAAUUGCCAGCAUAUUUCUGUAGCUAAAUCCAAUUACUACAGACAAAUUGGCAUGAAUAUUCGUCUUCCAAACCUUUCAGUAAACACAAAGGGCUUUUCUUCUUCUUCUAUUAGAAUUAGAAAAAGCACAGAGAAGGGCCACAAACAUGAUCGGGGCAUGGAACAGCUUCCAUAUGAGGAGAGAUUAAUAAGAUUGGGACUGUUCAGCUUAGAAAAGAGACAACAAAGGGGGGAUAUGAUAGAGGACUAUAAAAACAUCCAUGGUGUGAAAAAAGAGAAUACAGAUGUGUUAUUUGCGUCUUCUCAUAACACAAGAACCAGCGGUCACCCAAUGAAAUUAAUAGGCAGCAGGUUUAAAACAAACAAAAGGAAGUAUUUCUUCACACAACACACAGUCAACCUGUGGAACUCAUUGCCAGGGGAUGUUGUGAAGGCCAAAAAUAUAACUGGGUUCAAAAAAGAAUUAGAUCAGUGGAUGGAUGAUUGGUCCAUUAAGGGCUAUUAGCCAAGAUGGUCAGGGAUGCAACCCCAUGUUCUGGGUGUCCCUAAACCUCCAACUGCCAGAAGCUUGGACUGGAUGACAGGCAGCGCUUAAUUCAUGCCAGGGCUGAGCCCCGGCACCUCUGGGCCUGGCAGUUCAGAGCCCGUCACCUCUAGGCCUGGCGGUUCAUAGACCUGGCAUCUCUGGGCCUGGCAGGGCAGAGCCCCAGCACCUCUGGGCCUGGCAGUUCAGAGCCCAGCACCUCUGGGCCUGGCAUUUCGUAGCCCCUGAACCUCUGGGCCUGGCAGUUCAUAGCUCCAGCACC